CCAAUAGCGUAUAUUAAAGUUGUUGCAGUUAAAAAGCUCGUAGUUGAAUUUCGGGAUUGGCGCAUCGGUCGUGCCUCACGGGGUAUGAACUGGUGCAGUCAAUUUCUCACCUUCUGGAGAACCGCGAUGUCCUUAAUUGGAUGCCGCGGGGAACCAGGACCUUUACUUUGAAAAAAUUAGAGUGUUUACAGCAGGCAUUUUUGCUUGAAUACAUUGGCAUGGAAUAAUAAAAUAGGACGGCAUGGUUCUAUUUUGUUGGUUUCUAGGACCACCGUAAUGAUUAAUAGGGAUAGUUGGGGGCAUUAGUAUUCAAUUGUCAGAGGUGAAAUUCUUGGAUUUAUUGAAGACUAACUACUGCGAAAGCAUUUGCCAAGGAUGUUUUCAUUAAUCAAGAACGAAAGUUAGGGGAUCGAAGACGAUCAGAUACCGUCGUAGUCUUAACCAUAAACUAUGCCGACUAGGAAUCAGACGAUGUUAAUUUUUUAAUGACUCGUUUGGCACCUUACG
Molecule: ribosomal RNA, 507 nt
Filed under: uncultured Glomeromycotina
Lineage: Eukaryota; Fungi; Glomeromycota
Description: partial small subunit ribosomal RNA
Rfam family: Eukaryotic small subunit ribosomal RNA
Source: RNAcentral